GAGCUUAUGCUUAUGUCUUAUGCUUAUGGUUACGGAGAUUCAUGUGCGAUGGCCUUAAAAAGUUUUAUUUGCAACAGUUAGGGCUAUCCUACACAAAAUGACAUAGCUGCAUAUGCAUAGCAUAAAACUAUAUGGACCAAUGAGCGUCUAGCAUAAAGUCGCCAUAUUGAUUUACAUAACAUAGCAUAUACAUACAUAAGCAUAACAUAUGCAUAAGAAAUGAAAAAAUCCAUAAGAACGAAAUUUUUAUGCAUAUGGUCUAUGCACAAUCAAUCAAAUUUCAAACAAAAGUUUCUAUUGUUUAAAAUUCUGUAGACUUAAAGAUAAUAUAGAUAUAAGAAAAGUACAAAAAAAUAAUAAAGGUACAAUCAUAGAUCAUAAUAAUUAUUGUAAAAGAAAAGAUAGUGAAAACAAUAAAGAAAAUGAAGACAUUGAUGACUUCGAGAGAAGAAGAUUCAUUAUUAAUAGAAUUAGGUAAAGGUUAUCUUCAUCUUUACGAUAAAGAAGUAAAAGACUUUAAAGAUACUAAUAAAAAACAAAACUCUUGAAAGGAAAUAGGAGAAAUUUUAAACGCAACAGUAUCUUUUAGCUUCAGAUUGUCAAAUGAGAUGGGCAAGAUUACGCGAACGAUAUUCUCGUGAAAAAAAAUUACGAGAAAUAGAAACAAGAAGUGGAAGUGAAAGUACAAUGAGAUCAAUAUUUCCUUUAUAUGACCAAAUGAAUUUUUUGUUCAAAUUUGUCAAAAGUAGGAAAUCUAUAACUAAUAUAUCAAAUUUGACUUUUAAACAAUUACAUCCAGUCAAGACGAAUGAGUCAACAGAAAAAUUAGGAUUCUCAAAUAUACCAAAGAACCAGAUUCGAUCAAGUAACGAGGAUGAUACACAGAUGACAUAAAAAUUGCCUAAACCUAACUCUUUGUUAAAAACAUCAACAACAGUAGCUUCUACAAGUUCAUCAAUAUCUUCUACAUACUACUCUCCUUCUCAAUCAGUUAACACAUCUUGCUUACAUAAUAAUGAUACUUAUUCCCAGAUAAACAUGACGAAAGAAUCAGAUAACCGUAGUAACCAACGCAGACCAUCUCCUACAAGUCUUGUACCGGCAAAUAUAACAAGUACAAUUAAUAGACAAAACUGCUCAUGUGAAAUUGUGUUUAUAAUAGAUGAAGGGCUAAUACAAACACAUACAAGAUGUGUACAAAAAUACGAUUUUAUUUCAACCCAGCAAACAAUUUGGUUGCGAGAUGUCGCAGUUUUGUCGCCAACCGCCGGCGAAAUUAGU
This is an RNA transcript of Pseudomyrmex gracilis, 1281 nucleotides long. RefSeq lists it as uncharacterized. The transcript has 4 exons. Lineage: Eukaryota; Metazoa; Arthropoda; Insecta; Hymenoptera; Formicidae. The record is from RefSeq and is a predicted model, not a curated record.